RNAcentral lists this long non-coding RNA (734 nucleotides) under Heterocephalus glaber (naked mole-rat). RNAcentral describes it as "lncRNA (ENSHGLG00100033222.1)". The record is from RNAcentral. Lineage: Eukaryota; Metazoa; Chordata; Mammalia; Rodentia; Bathyergidae.
GAGUUCACCUCUUAAUGAGUGCAAACCCAGUAAGCACAACCAGGAGGUAAGAGUGGAGAGAGAAUCAUUACUUGCAGCAGACAGGAUCUUGCUAUGCAGCCCAGGCUGACCUCAAACUCAUGGCAAUCCUCCUGCCUCAGCAUCCCAAGUGCUGGGAUCACAGAUUACAAAAUGAAUAUGUCUGUGGAGAGGAGACCACCACACAAGUGGGUGAUGAUGCACAGCCGUAAUCUUCCAACCACAACUCUGCCAUCAGAGACAAUGCCAGUGCUGAGGGACCAUAAUCCCCCCAGCAAAGGUUCCAUGGCAAUAAAAGAAUUCAAGUUCUCUGUAUGUGGAUCCAAAAUAAGGGAUCUUGGUAUGUUGCCCAGGCCAGUUUCAAAUUUGUGAUUCUCACUUUAGCCUUCCAAGUACCUGGGAUUAUAGUUGACCACGCACCAGGUGGAGAACCCAAAAGAACUACAGCAAAAGCUACAGCGAAGACUUUAGCAACAGCAGAAAGCAAAACAGAGAGCAGCAGCCUGCAGCUUAUCUUCCUCUCUCUGCCUCAGAUGCUUUCUAGAUGUAAAGCUGGCAUAAAAUAGCACUAAAACCUUACAGAGUUGUGUUGAGGAUAAGGGGGACAUCACGCAAGAAAGUUUAAGUAUAACGCGUGAAACCCUCCUCUCUUUUAACACAUUUCUUUCCCUAUUAAUGAAACACCUGCUGAAACCUGCAUACUAUAGUAGUCCACG